AAGGGAGACCUAAUUCCGGUAGGAGACGAAAAAAAAGUAGUCCCAACCAAGAAUCAAUCCUAAAAGGUCGGAACGAGGUUUGAGGCUUUCAAACUAGGUUCUGGGUUCAUAAAAGACCUGAAUCAGGAACAAGGGCUAUUAGCUCAGGUGGUUAGAGCGCACCCCUGAUAAGGGUGAGGUCCCUGGUUCGAGUCCAGGAUGGCCCACCUGCACAGGUGGCAAAAACAAGAGAAGCUCCGAAUCAGCACCUUAUCUUAUAUACAUAUAUAAGAGAGAAUGCUGGCUCUGAGUACAGAGUCCAGAGGAACCUUGAAAACUGCAUAGAGCUAGGUGAAAAAGCCAAAAAAGAAGACCGCAA
This 358-nucleotide transfer RNA is filed under the name uncultured Microcystis sp. RNAcentral's name for it is "partial 16S-23S ribosomal RNA intergenic spacer". The stretch from base 133 to 206 matches the Rfam family "tRNA". The record is from RNAcentral. Lineage: Bacteria; Bacillati; Cyanobacteriota; Cyanophyceae; Chroococcales; Microcystaceae.